Molecule: ribosomal RNA, 379 nt
Filed under: uncultured eukaryote
Lineage: Eukaryota
Description: partial 18S ribosomal RNA
Rfam family: Eukaryotic small subunit ribosomal RNA
Source: RNAcentral
CAAUAGCGUAUAUUAAAGUUGUUGCGGUUAAAAAGCUCGUAGUUGGAUUUCUGCCGAGGACGACCGGUCCGCCCUCUGGGUGAGUAUCUGACUCGGCCUGGCAUCUUCUUGGAGAACGUAGCUGCACUUGACUGUGUGGUGCGGUAUCCAGGACUUUUACUUUGAGGAAAUUAGAGUGUUUCAAGCAGGCUUACGCCUUGAAUACAUUAGCAUGGAAUAAUAAGAUAGGACCUCGGUUCUAUUUUGUUGGUUUCUAGAGCUGAGGUAAUGAUUAAUAGGGAUAGUUGGGGGCAUUCGUAUUUAACUGUCAGAGGUGAAAUUCUUGGAUUUGUUAAAGACGGACUACUGCGAAAACAUUUGCCAAGGAUGUUUUCAUUGA